GAUGAACGCUGGCGGCGUGCCUAAUACAUGCAAGUCGAGCGAACGGACGAGAAGCUUGCUUCUCUGAUGUUAGCGGCGGACGGGUGAGUAACACGUGGAUAACCUACCUAUAAGACUGGGAUAACUUCGGGAAACCGGAGCUAAUACCGGAUAAUAUUUUGAACCGCAUGGUUCAAUAGUGAAAGACGGUCUUGCUGUCACUUAUAGAUGGAUCCGCGCUGCAUUAGCUAGUUGGUAAGGUAACGGCUUACCAAGGCAACGAUGCAUAGCCGACCUGAGAGGGUGAUCGGCCACACUGGAACUGAGACACGGUCCAGACUCCUACGGGAGGCAGCAGUAGGGAAUCUUCCGCAAUGGGCGAAAGCCUGACGGAGCAACGCCGCGUGAGUGAUGAAGGUCUUCGGACCGUAAAACUCUGUUAUUAGGGAAGAACAUAUGUGUAAGUAACUGUGCACAUCUUGACGGUACCUAAUCAGAAAGCCACGGCUAACUACGUG
Molecule: ribosomal RNA, 497 nt
Filed under: uncultured bacterium
Lineage: Bacteria
Description: partial 16S ribosomal RNA
Rfam family: Bacterial small subunit ribosomal RNA
Source: RNAcentral